UGUGAACUUGCCAUCAAACUGUCGGCUGGUAAGAGAUGUUGCCAAACCCUGCUGUAAAAUCCUGACCUGUAGCCCCACACCAUCUCCCCUGACGAAAAAGUGACCAGGACUUCUGCCUAUGACUACAGUACCAACACAGAGACCAGAAAAAAUGACAAUUUCCCCAACACCGCCUGGUUCCACUGUUGGUAUGCAGUAAGGGUUUCAACACAUUCAGGAUCCACAUUCUUCCCACCAUCACUGUCAACUGUAUCAUCAACACAAGAAUUAUUUUAGGUUUAGACUAGACUGGAGGCGGAGAACAGUUUUUAUGAUGUAGUUCAAGGGGACUUAUUUUAGCUAAAGGACUAUGGAGUGUCCCCAGAAGAUAAAAGGUAGACAAAAGGCAGAAGUCCUAAUACAGCAAUCAUAAUGACGAAUGCAGAGAAACAUUGCAGAGACUUUUAGGUAUAAACAAUCCUAUAAUACUGAAAUUUACAACUUGUGAUAUGUAACCAUCUCUUACUAUGUGUGUAAGUACACAGAAAGAUAUAAAGUGCAAAGUAUGCAAAAAUGAGGUGUGGCUGAAGAACGAGUGCAGAUUUCCCGAUGCAAAGAUAAUAACCUUUUUAUUACAUACACAUCUACACGUAUAAAUAUAAUGUAAAUAUCAUAUUAAAUUUGUUCAGUAGCCUGAAUAGGAAUGACAAUACUGAACUAAAUAGAAAAAAAUAGUGCAAGAAUAAACACUGAAUUACGUCACACACCUGAUAUGAAAUUCAGGCGUUAGUGUAUGGAAAAAUAUUGACAUUUCAGGUACCAGUUUAACGUAACGGGGAAUAGAAACGUGUAUGUAAUAACAAUAAUAUAUUUAGUUACAAACAUCUGUUAAUAAUACAGUGGCUAAUUCUGUAAAUAUGUGGGAAAAAGGUAGCAAAAAUUGUCUACCUGAAAUUAUUUCUGCCUAAGUACUACACUAACAGUUCGAGUCUUGACAUUUAAAUGCUUGUGUUUAAACUAAUUUUUAUUUAUUUUUUUUAAAAAAAUUAAGAAACAAGAAUAUACAUGUAUAUUAAAAAAUAAAUAUCAUUUUACUUGAAACUUUCAACAUUUUACAGGAGCAGUACCAGUCCUGCUAUUAUGUGAAAAUGCAGAGAAGUGAUGACUAGAGAGUAAACUUUAUAAAGUAAGUUAAGGCGUAAAAAGAAAUUGUUUGUUUCCGGUAUCCCGACCUACUCUAAAUUUUUGGCUUGACCCUUAAUGUUUUUAUGGCCUUGGAGAAUAUUUUUUUCAACUUUGUCACAAAAAGUUGCAAAACUGCAGUUUUUAUGCUUUAAACAUGGCCAGUGAUGUUAGAAAUCAACUUACUGAUGCUCUAAGGCAUAACCCCCUUACUUGUAUGCAUUUUUUGACACAAAAAUAAUAAUUUCCGAAAAGUAGCCUCAAUAAAAAAAUAAUUCCAAAAAAAAAUUUCUGACCUACCUACCCCAAUUUUUUUUUAGCAUGUUACCGGAAACAAAGAAAUUUUUUUUAGGCCUAAGGUAAUGUAAUGGUAAAAGUUAACAAAUUUGAAAUUACAAUGUUCUUAAGUUUUAUCUAAUCUAAUACAGUCUUUUUAGUUAUUACAAUAUACAUCUGUUUGACUUUGGAUGGUGGUUUCUGGAAUCCUUUUCAUUGUAUUUCUUUUUCAUUUUCAUUACAUUUCAGAUGUUAAAUUUCUUCUUCAGUUUGAUUGCAUCUUCAUUUUCAUUAAUUAAUACAGCAAUCUUUAUCUUUCUUUUCUUACACAAGCUUCUCCAAAAUUGGGAGGGCAUAAAAUUUUUUUUCAAACAGCAACUCCCUUAAUUAUGCCCCCCUUCGAAGAAGGAGGGGUAUAUUGUUUUG
This is a long non-coding RNA of Mercenaria mercenaria, 1863 nucleotides long. RefSeq lists it as uncharacterized. The transcript is spliced from 4 exons. The record is from RefSeq and is a predicted model, not a curated record. NCBI's taxonomy places the organism in Eukaryota, Metazoa, Mollusca, Bivalvia, Venerida, Veneridae.